CGGGACGGGUGAGUAACGUGUGGGCAACCUGCCCUAUACUGGGGAAUAAUCACUGGAAACGGUGACUAAUACCGCAUGUCAUUACGGAAGGGCAUCCUUCUGUAAGAAAAGGAGUAAUUCGGUAUAGGAUGGGCCCGCAUCUGAUUAGCUAGUUGGUGAGAUAACAGCCCACCAAGGCGACGACCAGUAGCCGACCUGAGAGGGUGAUCGGCCACAUUGGGACUGAGACACGGCCCAA
Molecule: ribosomal RNA, 238 nt
Filed under: uncultured bacterium
Lineage: Bacteria
Description: partial 16S ribosomal RNA
Rfam family: Bacterial small subunit ribosomal RNA
Source: RNAcentral